ACUCCUACGGAAGGCAGCAGUGGGGAAUCUUGCGCAAUGGGCGAAAGCCUGACGCAGCGACGCCGCGUGGGUGAUGAAGGCCUUCGGGUUGUAAAGCUCUUUGGGUGGAGACGAAUAAGUCGUGGCUAACAUCCACGAUGAUGACGGUAUCCACAUAACAAGCACCGGCUAACUCUGUGCCAGCAGCCGCGGUAAU
This 196-nucleotide ribosomal RNA is filed under the name uncultured bacterium. Its description in RNAcentral is "partial 16S ribosomal RNA". It matches the Rfam family "Bacterial small subunit ribosomal RNA", at positions 335 to 524 of the family's 1533-position model. The record is from RNAcentral.